CUAUAAUGCAAGUCGAGCGAACAGACGAGGAGCUUGCUCCUCUGACGUUAGCGGCGGACGGGUGAGUAACACGUGGAUAACCUACCUAUAAGACUGGGAUAACUUCGGGAAACCGGAGCUAAUACCGGAUAAUAUAUUGAACCGCAUGGUUCAAUAGUGAAAGACGGUUUUGCUGUCACUUAUAGAUGGAUCCGCGCCGCAUUAGCUAGUUGGUAAGGUAACGGCUUACCAAGGCAACGAUGCGUAGCCGACCUGAGAGGGUGAUCGGCCACACUGGAACUGAGACACGGUCCAGACUCCUACGGGAGGCAGCAGUAGGGAAUCUUCCGCAAUGGGCGAAAGCCUGACGGAGCAACGCCGCGUGAGUGAUGAAGGUCUUCGGAUCGUAAAACUCUGUUAUUAGGGAAGAACAAAUGUGUAAGUAACUAUGCACGUCUUGACGGUACCUAAUCAGAAAGCCACGGCUAACUACGUGCCAGCAGCCGCGGUAAUACGUAGGUGGCAAGCGUUAUCCGGAAUUAUUGGGCGUAAAGCGCGCGUAGGCGGUUUUUUAAGUCUGAUGUGAAAGCCCACGGCUCAACCGUGGAGGGUCAUUGGAAACUGGAAAACUUGAGUGCAGAAGAGGAAAGUGGAAUUCCAUGUGUAGCGGUGAAAUGCGCAGAGAUAUGGAGGAACACCAGUGGCGAAGGCGACUUUCUGGUCUGUAACUGACGCUGAUGUGCGAAAGCGUGGGGAUCAAACAGGAUUAGAUACCCUGGUAGUCCACGCCGUAAACGAUGAGUGCUAAGUGUUAGGGGGUUUCCGCCCCUUAGUGCUGCAGCUAACGCAUUAAGCACUCCGCCUGGGGAGUACGACCGCAAGGUUGAAACUCAAAGGAAUUGACGGGGACCCGCACAAGCGGUGGAGCAUGUGGUUUAAUUCGAAGCAACGCGAAGAACCUUACCAAAUCUUGACAUCCUCUGACCCCUCUAGAGAUAGAGUUUUCCCCUUCGGGGGACAGAGUGACAGGUGGUGCAUGGUUGUCGUCAGCUCGUGUCGUGAGAUGUUGGGUUAAGUCCCGCAACGAGCGCAACCCUUAAGCUUAGUUGCCAUCAUUAAGUUGGGCACUCUAAGUUGACUGCCGGUGACAANCCGGAGGAAAGNUGGGGAUGACGUCAAAUCAUCAUGCCCCUUAUGAUUUGGGCUACAACCGUGCUACAAUGG
This 1203-nucleotide ribosomal RNA is filed under the name Staphylococcus epidermidis. RNAcentral describes it as "bacterial SSU rRNA". It matches the Rfam family "Bacterial small subunit ribosomal RNA", at positions 51 to 1233 of the family's 1533-position model. Lineage: Bacteria; Bacillati; Bacillota; Bacilli; Caryophanales; Staphylococcaceae. The record is from RNAcentral.